RNAcentral lists this ribosomal RNA (406 nucleotides) under uncultured bacterium. RNAcentral's name for it is "partial 16S ribosomal RNA". It matches the Rfam family "Bacterial small subunit ribosomal RNA", at positions 30 to 526 of the family's 1533-position model. The record is from RNAcentral.
AUUGAACGCUGGCGGCAGGCCUAACACAUGCAAGUCGAACGAGUGGCGGACGGGUGAGUAAUGUCUGGGAAACUGCCCGAUGGAGGGGGAUAACUACUGGAAACGGUAGCUAAUACCGCAUACCAUCGGAUGUGCCCAGAUGGGAUUAGCUAGUAGGUGGGGUACCGGCUCACCUAGGCGACGAUCCCUAGCUGGUCUGAGAGGAUGACCAGCCACAAUGGAACUGAGACACGGUCCAGAUGCCUACGGGAGGAAGCAGUGGGGAAUAUUGCACAAUGGGCGCAAGCAUGAUGUAGCCAUGCCGCGUGUAUGAAGAAGGCCUUCGGGCUGUAAAGUAUUUGUAGCGAGGAGGCGUUACUCGCAGAAGAAGCACCGGCCAACUGUGUGCCAGCAGCCGCGGUAAUAC